RNAcentral lists this ribosomal RNA (300 nucleotides) under uncultured Saprospira sp. RNAcentral's name for it is "bacterial SSU rRNA". It matches the Rfam family "Bacterial small subunit ribosomal RNA", at positions 114 to 412 of the family's 1533-position model. The record is from RNAcentral. Lineage: Bacteria; Pseudomonadati; Bacteroidota; Saprospiria; Saprospirales; Saprospiraceae.
CGCGUACAAAACCUACCUUUUACUGGGGGAAAGUCGCUGGAAACGGCGAAUAAUCCCGCAUACGACUAUAAUAACACAUGUUAUAAUAGUGAAAGGCUUCGGUUGGUAAAAGAUGGUUGUGCGUCCCAUUAGCUAGAUGGUAAGGUAACGGCUUACCAUGGCGACGAUGGGUAGGGGGCGUGAGAGCGUGAUCCCCCACACGGGUACUGAGACACGGCCCAGACUCCUACGGGAGGCAGCAGUGGGGAAUAUUGCACAAUGGGCGAAAGCCUGAUGCAGCCAUGCCGCGUGUGUGAAGAA